UCCCUGGUGGACUAGUGGUUAGGCCACAGCCCUCUCACAGCUGUGGCCUGGGUUCAAUACCUGGCCAGGAAA
Non-coding RNA from Pangasius djambal, 72 nucleotides. The record is from the annotation of a GenBank genome assembly. NCBI's taxonomy places the organism in Eukaryota, Metazoa, Chordata, Actinopteri, Siluriformes, Pangasiidae.